ACAACUAUCUCUCUAGAUAAUGUAAAUGUCAUCUUCAAGUUUAUGGAUUUUCAUUUUCACAACAACAUCAAUAAUAUAGAUCUAGUAAUAGUAUUUAGGGCAAAUGUCAUUGGGUUUUCGUUAACACAAAUAUAUGUUGUUCUGCCCCUUGCAGCACAUCCACAACUAGAAAAUCUAGGUUUAUAAACUUGAAUGUAUAAACAGAGGCAGAUUUUAGUGUGAACACAAGUUAUACUCAAUAAUUUUGGCUCAUAUUUCUUGAUGCACAAGUUGUUUAUAUGUAAUUAAUCACAAAUCCAAUUCUUUUGGAAUUGUUGAUUUCUUGCUAGUUGAUAUGGAGGACUUAUGCUCCAGAUUUCAAUUCUCUCGCUUGUUCUGUUUUCAUUCAUCUUGAGCUUAGAAGAGCUUUAUACUAUGGAGUUUGAAAAUAAAUAAUGGAGAAAUUCUAGAAUGAUCCAAGCUUUGUUCGUAAAAAGAUAUCGGGUGGAGGUGAAAUAGUACUUUGACAUUGCAGUAGCAGCAAGAAGCACCCGAUUUGUGCGAGAUCUAAUGAAAGUGAUGGAAGUAGCUGGUGACUAACAAAUAUGAGAAUACGACAGCAAAGUGCUAAAGCAAUGAGGGAAAGGAAUCACUUUGACAGCUAUGAAUGGGUAUAAAGCUAUAGUAUCAUACCUUUUUGAGGUCACAAGUCUUCAUGUGGUACAGACCUACCUUCUUCACACCAUUAUACAGAAUGAGAUGUAUGUGAUGGCAUAACAUUUAUUCAACAAAGACAGGAAAAUUAGCCAGUAAAAUGUUACAAGGAAAUAUUCAUGUCUUACACAUGUUAUCACAAAAGUCGAGGAAAAAUUGAAGAGAUUCAUUGAAGGAGCUUAUUCUCCAACGUGGAGAAAGUUAUUUAGCCUGGCCAGGAGGGGUACUCCCAGCAAAAUAUGUACUGGAGAAACACGUCAGUCUAUUACUUGAGGAGCUUUGGGCGGAAUGUCAAAGAAGUGCAGAGGAUAAGCUAUUGGAACUAUUGGAAAAGGAAAGCUUUGCUCUAUUCUGCUGCAAAAGCAGGAAAUAUAGAGCUUUUAGUUAUGGUUAUUCACAGUCAUCCUGAACUCAUAUGGCAACCUGACUAUCAAAACUGGACCAUUUUCCAUGUUGCGGUUUUAUAUCGAGAGGAAAAAGUCUUCAGUCUUAUACACCAAAUAGGAGGAAUGUAAAACUUUCUUCUUCAAAUAUAUGAUAAUGAUGGCAAUACCAUUCUACAUUUAGCUGGGAGGUAGGGCAGGGCAGCCACUCCGUCAGCAGAAAACUGGACAGAUGCUGAUAAUAAUGAUGUAUUCGUUGAAUCACAACAACAGUUGUUUCAAGAGAUUAGACAGUCUGUUAAAGUAUUUCCUCUCUUUUUAAACUAUACAUGUUGCUUCAUUCCAAUUUAACACAGAUACAAGAAAUAUUGUAUAAUCAAAAAGUCCCGUUGUUUGGAUUAAUCACCAUUGCUUAAAUAAUGAGCUGACCAACAGGAGGAAGAGAAGAUUAUGCCGCCAUCAUUUCUCAAGGUUUCUGGAGCAGCACUUCAAAUGCAAAGAGAGAUAUUGUGGUUCACGGUGAGAAAUUACCUAAAAGUAAAUUUUCCAAUCGGAAACACAUCUUGUUGCAUUUAUAUAUUUUAAGAGUGAAUUAAAGACGUACAUUUUUAGCGUUUUCUAUAAUGGGCAGAGUUAUGGCUUUUAAAAUUUUUGUGUUGCUGCGGAAUGAUUAGUUACUAAUUUUCUAGCGAGAAACUUGCAUCUUCACUCCACAAGGUGAGAAACAACGAUGGGAGAACCCCUAGGGAAUUAUUCAUAGAAGAGCACAAGCUAUUACUAAAAGAAGGGAAAAGGUGGAUGAAAGAUACUGUGAAUUCUUGUAUGAUUGUUGCAACUUUGUUUACCACGAUGUUGUUUGUUGCUACUGUCUAUUCUGACAUCUCUCUAUGCUGAAGACGAUUUUCUUGUGUCAUUGUCAUAUAGAGAUGUCAGAAUGGACAAGAACAUAAUGAUGGAAACGAUUGAGCUAAAUAAUGCCACUGCAUCUGAUAUGACAAAGACCGUAAAUCCAUUCAGUUUUAGCAAUAUUGGAAUACCAUUAUCUGGCACAGGAAGCCAGCAACAAACACCAUCGUGGCAGUCAAAGUUGCAACAAUCAUACAAGAAUUCACAGCGUCUUUCAUCCACCUUUCCCCUUCUUUUAGUAAUAGCUUGUGCUCUUCUGUGAAUAAUUCCUUAGGGGUUUUCCCAUCGUUGUUUCUCAGCUUGUGGUAUAUAGGUGGUACAAUUUUCUCCACUUCCUAGACAGUUAGUAAUUAUCAUUCUGCAGCAACAACAUUUUUAAAAGACAUAACCCUUCCCUUUAAAGAAAACGCUGAAAAUUGUAUCUCUUUAAUUCAUACUUAAAAAGCUAAAUGACAGAUAUUUAAAUGCAACAAGAUGUGUUUCCAACUGCGAAAUUUACUUUUAGGUAAUCUUCUCACCGUGAACCACAAUAUCUCUUUUUGCAUUUGAAGUGCUGCUCCAGAAACCCUGAGAAAUGAUGGCGGCAUAAUCUUCUCUUCCUUUUGUUGGUCAGCUCAUUAUUUAAACAUUGAUGAUUAAUCCAAACAACGGAACUUUUUGAUUAUACAAUAUUUCCUGUACCUGUGUUAAAUUGGAACGAAGCAACAUGUAUAGUUUAUAAAGAGAGAGGAAAUACCUUAACAGACUGUCUAAUAUCUUGAAACAGCUGUUGUAGUACAACAUUAUUAUCAGCAUCAGGAGGCACAUACUGGAAAAGUUUGUUUUUCUGUUUAAGGAUUGGCUGCCCUAACUUCCCAGCCAAAUGUAGAAUGUUGUUGCCAUCAGUACCAAUUAUUUGAAUAAAUAAGUUUUAAAUUGCUCAUAUAUGGUGUAUAAUCUUACCAUACAUCUCAUUCUUGAUAGUAGCCUUAAAAAGGUCUUAGCGUUUUUCUUGCUGUAUCACAUCAAGACUUGUGACCUCAAAAAGGUAUGAUACCACAGCUUUAUGCCCAAACAAAGCUGCCAUAGAAAUUGGUAAUAUUCCACCGUCACACGGGAUGUUUGGUAGAUUCUUAUCUCUUACCCUCAGUUCUUUAACAAUUUCAAUAAGGAUUUGCUUAGUGUAGAAAUUCCUCCUGCUUUCCCACUAGAAUUUCUUCACUAUUUGCUUAGUGUACCAAUUCCAACGUGUUAGCUUCCAUAGUAUCAUAAAGCUCAAGAUGGAGCUGAACCUGUGAAUGAAAGCAGAACAAGCUCGACAGAGAAGUGAAAUCUGGAGCAAAAGUCUUCCAUAGCAAUCAGCUUCCAGAAGAAAUGGAUUUGUGUUCUGAUUAAUCAUAUCAUAUCAUCAUCAUAUUACCCUUUAACUGAAAGUUAAGUCACUACUCUCUCUCCUUUUUACCGGAAACUCCUCGGUAUGCUAUAUCAGCCCCAACUCCUACAAAAACACCACCCUCACAGUUCCCUCCGCUUCAUUUUUCAUACACCAACUACAAACGUAAAUUGUGCAAUCUCUGACUACAAAGUGUAGAAUCAAACUAGGAUAAACAUAGUACUUUCAAAGAUUUCCCUAGGCAUCUUCAUUAUACUACCAUCUUUGAAUUUUACACACCCAUAAACUAUUAUUUAUCCUGCGUACCCAUACUAUCAUCUUCGACAUUCAGAGUCCCGUACAAUUGCACAACAACUACUACUGCAUAUCCUUCUCAUCACCAACUCUGAAUUUUAAUAAAGGUUCUACCCACUGCUUUUGAGGCAUUACGAUCUUGGACUUUUAAAGCAAUGAUAUUCUGGCGUGAUAUUGGGUAUUGCUGUGAUACAGUUGCUGUUUAAUCCUUGCUUGCCGCAGCGAGAGCUGAACAAAUGUCAAUUCUAGUAUGUACGUUAUAAUCUUUAGCUUGUAGUUCAUAGGAAUGAUCAUAUAAAAUUUUCAGAUGUGAUCUCACUCCUUGUAUUAGAUUGCUGGUUAGACAACAAUGCCAUCAAUUUUGAGAUUAACAACUCAUUUAUUUUAAAUUUGAGCGGAAUUACGAUUCCAAUUCCUUCAGA
This is a long non-coding RNA of Solanum tuberosum (potato), 4070 nucleotides long. RefSeq lists it as uncharacterized. The transcript has 3 exons. Lineage: Eukaryota; Viridiplantae; Streptophyta; Magnoliopsida; Solanales; Solanaceae. The record is from RefSeq and is a predicted model, not a curated record.